This 253-nucleotide ribosomal RNA is filed under the name uncultured bacterium. RNAcentral describes it as "partial 16S ribosomal RNA". It matches the Rfam family "Bacterial small subunit ribosomal RNA", at positions 524 to 776 of the family's 1533-position model. The record is from RNAcentral.
UACAGAGGUCCCAAGCGUUGUUCGGAUUCACUGGGCUUAAAGCGUGCGUAGGCGGUCUUGUUAGUCAGGUGUGAAAGCCCUCAGCCUAACUGAGGAAUUGCGCUUGAUACUGCAUGACUAGAGAAUGAUAGAGGUGGGUGGAACUGAUGGUGGAGCGGUGAAAUGCGUUGAUAUCAUCAGGAACACCAGUGGCGAAGGCGACCCACUGGGUCAUUUCUGACGCUGAGGUACGAAAGCUAGGGUAGCGAACGGG